This 396-nucleotide ribosomal RNA is filed under the name uncultured bacterium. RNAcentral's name for it is "partial 16S ribosomal RNA". It matches the Rfam family "Bacterial small subunit ribosomal RNA", at positions 523 to 918 of the family's 1533-position model. The record is from RNAcentral.
AUACGUAGGUGGCAAGCGUUGUCCGGAUUUACUGGGUGUAAAGGGUGCGUAGGCGGGGCAGCAAGUUGGAUGUGAAAUCCUCGGGCUCCACUCGAGAACUGCAUUCAAAACUGUUGCUCUUGAGUGCAGUAGAGGCAAGCGGAAUUCCCGGUGUAGCGGUGAAAUGCGCAGAGAUCGGGAGGAACACCAGUGGCGAAGGCGGCUUGCUGGGCUGUUACUGACGCUGAGGCACGAAAGCAUGGGUAGCAAACAGGAUUAGAUACCCUGGUAGUCCAUGCUGUAAACGAUGAUUACUAGGUGUGGGUGGACUGACCCCAUCCGUGCCGGAGUUAACACAUUAAGUAAUCCACCUGGGGAGUACGGCCGCAAGGUUGAAACUCAAAUGAAUUGACGGGG